This 391-nucleotide long non-coding RNA is filed under the name Helianthus annuus (common sunflower). Its description in RNAcentral is "sRNA HanXRQr2_Chr16g0733301". The record is from RNAcentral. Lineage: Eukaryota; Viridiplantae; Streptophyta; Magnoliopsida; Asterales; Asteraceae.
GAUAGCUAGAUGAUCUCGUGAAUAUCCCAUUCGUGCGGAUUCCUCCACAUGGCAGGUUGAAUGUGUGAUCCUAACGUACGACAUCGGCAGUGAACAGUGAAAGCCAAAAGCGGGUGUUGAAACAACCAUUGUUUGUUCAAGACUUGGGUUGUAAGGUUGGUGAACCUCUGGAAGUUAAGGGUUUAGAUUGCCAAGUACAAAGUCCAAAACAUGUAAAAUGUUGUUACCAAGGCGGUUACGAUUGUAAAUGAACGAGGUUUCCCAUGGACUCGUCUACCUCCACAAUCUCUGGCAAACCAAAUAAUGCAAGCGUUAUAGUUUAUCGCCAUAAGAGUUGGAGAAAAUAAAACCAAUGUAUACAUACAGUGGAUAUUCUGAUAAAUCCACAUAA